UACGGGAGGCAGCAGUGGGGAAUAUUGCACAAUGGGCGCAAGCCUGAUGCAGCCAUGCCGCGUGUAUGAAGAAGGCCUUCGGGUUGUAAAGUACUUUCAGUCGUGAGGAAGGUGUUAAGGUUAAUAACCUUAGCAAUUGACGUUAGCGACAGAAGAAGCACCGGCUAACUCCGUGCCAGCAGCCGCGGUAAUACGGAGGGUGCGAGCGUUAAUCGGAAUUACUGGGCGUAAAGGGCACGCAGGCGGUUAAUUAAGUUGGAUGUGAAAUCCCCGGGCUUAACCUGGGAAUGGCAUUCAAGACUGGUUAGCUAGAGUCUUGUAGAGGGGGUAGAAUUCCAUGUGUAGCGGUGAAAUGCGUAGAGAUGUGGAGGAAUACCGGUGGCGAAGGCGGCCCCUGGACAAAGACUGACGCUCAUGUGCGAAAGCGUGGGGAGCAAACAGGGAUAGAUACC
RNAcentral lists this ribosomal RNA (452 nucleotides) under uncultured bacterium. Its description in RNAcentral is "bacterial SSU rRNA". It matches the Rfam family "Bacterial small subunit ribosomal RNA", at positions 340 to 786 of the family's 1533-position model. The record is from RNAcentral.